Esox lucius (northern pike) is the source of this 1280-nucleotide non-coding RNA. The record is from the annotation of a RefSeq genome assembly. Lineage: Eukaryota; Metazoa; Chordata; Actinopteri; Esociformes; Esocidae.
AACAAGGUCCACAGUACGAGAAAAGCCAAAAGGCCCUGUAACGUUAGGUCCACCACCAUAUUGUAAUGCUCAUGCAUUUUCAUAUCAUUGGCAAAACUACUACUGGUGUGCCUGGGUCAAGACUGUUGUUAGUCAGUGUUGUCAGUCAGUACAGGGCCAACAUUUACUAAUAGAAGACUGGUAAAAUGCACAUGGCAGAAAUGAGUUGUUUCUUACACCCACAUCAUCUCUCAGAUCUGCAUGGAGAAGUGAAGUGUCAACUUAGAAUAAAUACAGUUAAGGAUUCUCUUGUGUCCUACACAGGGUAAUUGAAAAGUCAUUCAAAACUUAAAACCAAUGUACCAAGAUAACAUCCAAACUCCUUUUUGACAUGGGAGUUUCCACUGUGUACAAUGUAAAGAUAUUUGGCUCUGGGACAAGACUUUAUGUGACAAAAAAUCACCAAAGCAUCCAAAAGCCUAAAUUGACGGCCUACCCAGUGUCUAAUCCUGAGUGGAAUGGGAAGACCACCCUGCUGUGUCUGGCUCGUGAAAUGUUUCCAGACAUAGUCAAGAUCUCAUGGAUGACGGUGGAUGGAAGGGGCCAAAAAGUGGUUGUGCAAAACGGACCGGAGGAACAGCUGGAACAGAUAGAUGAAGGACAGACAAUCAGUAUGAUCAUCAUUGAUAAAGUGAUGGCCAACGCAAACAAAUACAGCUGUUCUGUAAAGCAUGAAAGGGGCAUUCAAGAGGUUGACAUACCAAAUGAGAAACAAUCUGAAGCUCCUCCAGCCACCAAGGUAGCACCAACCUGUCCUCCCAGAAAUUACAAUCAGGACCCAGCGACUCUGGAGGUUGCAGACGAUUCCUUCCAGUCAAUGUUCAGUCUGAAUCUGGCCUCUCUGGCUUAUACAGUGAUGAUAGUGAAGAGCCUGGUGUACAGCUGUGGACUCGCAGUCCUGCUUCAACUCAGGAAUACUGGGAAGUAGACCCAGCAGCCUCUACAUUUACUGAAAAGAUAAUCAUCAGUAUUGAUAGUUUUAGUGGGUUUUGAAAAACAAUGAUUUUUAGACUUUUCAUUGUCUGCUAGCUUUUUGUUAUAGCUUGUUUUAUAUUGUAAUAUUAAUUUAGAAAGGGUUUGUACUGUGUUUCCCUGCAUAAAAACUUAAAUGACUUUAAUUUAAUGUAUGUCGGAGGUAACCCCUGUAGACAUUUAGGCAAAGGUUCAGGUUUUCUGAUGAAUUAAUACAGCUGAUCUUGAAGAUGUUUGAUGAAGAGUGUGUUAUAAACACAAUUCGUAAA